GACGAACGCUGGCGGCGUGCUUAACACAUGCAAGUCGAACGGAAAGGCCCCUUUGGGGGUACUCGAGUGGCGAACGGGUGAGUAACACGUGAGUAACCUGCCCUUGACUUCGGGAUAACUUCAGGAAACUGGGGCUAAUACCGGAUAGGAAUCCUUGCUGCAUGGGGGGGGUUGGAAAGCUUCUGCGGUUUUGGAUGGACUCGCGGCGUAUCAGCUUGUUGGUGGGGUAGUGGCUUACCAAGGCUUUGAGGGGUAGCCGGCCUGAGGGGGCGACCGGCCACACUGGGACUGAGAGACGGCCCAGACGCCUACGAGAGGCAGAAGUGGGGAAUAUUGCACAAUGGGCGGCAGCCUGAUGCAGAAACGCCGCGUGCGGGAUGACGGCCUUCGGGUUGUAAACCGCUUUCAGCAGGGGCGAAGCUUGUGGUGACGGUACCUGCAGAAGAAGCACCGGCUAACUACGUG
RNAcentral lists this ribosomal RNA (465 nucleotides) under uncultured bacterium. RNAcentral's name for it is "partial 16S ribosomal RNA". It matches the Rfam family "Bacterial small subunit ribosomal RNA", at positions 28 to 507 of the family's 1533-position model. The record is from RNAcentral.